GAACCUACGGGACGCAGCAGUGGGGAAUAUUGCACAAUGGGGGAAACCCUGAUGCAGCGACGCCGCGUGAUUGAAGAAGUAUUUCGGUAUGUAAAGCUCUAUCAGCAGGGGAGAAAAUGACGGUACCUGACUAAGAAGCCCCGGCUAACUACGUGCCAGCAGCCGCGGUAAUACGUAGGGGGCAAGCGUUAUCCGGAUUUACUGGGUGUAAAGGGAGCGUAGACGGCGGAACAAGUCAGAAGUGAAAACCCGGGGGUCAACCCUGGGGGGGCUUUUG
RNAcentral lists this ribosomal RNA (277 nucleotides) under uncultured bacterium. Its description in RNAcentral is "partial 16S ribosomal RNA". It matches the Rfam family "Bacterial small subunit ribosomal RNA", at positions 333 to 629 of the family's 1533-position model. The record is from RNAcentral.